UACGUAGGCAGCAAGCGUUGUUCGGAAUUACUGGGCGUAAAGCGUGUGUAGGCGGUGCUCUAAGUCUGUUGUGAAAUCUCCCGGCUCAACUGGGAGGGUGCGCCGGAUACUGAGGGGCUAGAGUGCGGGAAGGGAAAGUGGAAUUCCGGGUGUAGCGGUGGAAUGCGUAGAGAUCCGGAAGAACACCGGUGGCGAAGGCGGUCUGCUGGGCAGUUGCUGACACUGAGGCGCGACAGCGUGGGGAGCAAACAGG
Molecule: ribosomal RNA, 253 nt
Filed under: uncultured bacterium
Lineage: Bacteria
Description: partial 16S ribosomal RNA
Rfam family: Bacterial small subunit ribosomal RNA
Source: RNAcentral